UACGUAGGGGACGAGCGUUGUCCGGAAUUACUGGGCGUAAAGGGUGCGCAGGCUGUAGAUCAAGUCAGCUGUGAAAUGUCUGGGCUUAACCCGGGCAUGCGGUUGAAACUGAUGUACUGGAGUGCUGUAGAGGCAAGUGGAAUUCCCAGUGUAGCGGUGAAAUGCGUAGAUAUUGGGAAGAACACCGGUGGCGAAGGCGACUUGCUGGGCAGCAACUGACGCUGAGGCGCGAAAGCCAGGGGAGCAAACGGGAUUAGAUA
This 260-nucleotide ribosomal RNA is filed under the name uncultured prokaryote. RNAcentral describes it as "partial 16S ribosomal RNA". It matches the Rfam family "Bacterial small subunit ribosomal RNA", at positions 524 to 784 of the family's 1533-position model. The record is from RNAcentral.